UGAAUAUGGGGGGACCAUCCUCCAAGGCUAAAUACUCCUGACUGACCGAUAGUGAACCAGUACCGUGAGGGAAAGGCGAAAAGAACCCCGGCGAGGGGAGUGAAAAAGAACCUGAAACCGUGUACGUACAAGCAGUGGGAGCACGCUUAGGCGUGUGACUGCGUACCUUUUGUAUAAUGGGUCAGCGACUUAUAUUCUGUAGCAAGGUUAACCGAAUAGGGGAGCCGAAGGGAAACCGAGUCUUAACUGGGCGUUAAGUUGCAGGGUAUAGACCCGAAACCCGGUGAUCUAGCCAUGGGCAGGUUGAAGGUUGGGUAACACUAACUGGAGGACCGAACCGACUAAUGUUGAAAAAUUAGCGGAUGACUUGUGGCUGGGGGUGAAAGGCCAAUCAAACCGGGAGAUAGCUGGUUCUCCCCGAAAGCUAUUUAGGUAGCGCCUCGUGAAUUCAUCUCCGGGGGUAGAGCACUGUUUCGGCAAGGGGGUCAUCCCGACUUACCAACCCGAUGCAAACUGCGAAUACCGGAGAAUGUUAUCACGGGAGACACACGGCGGGUGCUAACGUCCGUCGUGAAGAGGGAAACAACCCAGACCGCCAGCUAAGGUCCCAAAGUCAUGGUUAAGUGGGAAACGAUGUGGGAAGGCCCAGACAGCCAGGAUGUUGGCUUAGAAGCAGCCAUCAUUUAAAGAAAGCGUAAUAGCUCACUGGUCGAGUCGGCCUGCGCGGAAGAUGUAACGGGGCUAAACCAUGCACCGAAGCUGCGGCAGCGACACUAUGUGUUGUUGGGUAGGGGAGCGUUCUGUAAGCCUGUGAAGGUGUACUGUGAGGUAUGCUGGAGGUAUCAGAAGUGCGAAUGCUGACAUAAGUAACGAUAAAGCGGGUGAAAAGCCCGCUCGCCGGAAGACCAAGGGUUCCUGUCCAACGUUAAUCGGGGCAGGGUGAGUCGACUCCUAAGGCGAGGCCGAAAGGCGUAGUCGAUGGGAAACAGGUUAAUAUUCCUGUACUUGGUGUUACUGCGAAGGGGGGACGGAGAAGGCUAUGUUGGCCGGGCGACGGUUGUCCCGGUUUAAGCGUGUAGGCUGGUUUUCCAGGCAAAUCCGGAAAACUAAGGCUGAGGCGUGAUGACGAGGCACUACGGUGCUGAAGCAACAAAUGCCCUGCUUCCAGGAAAAGCCUCUAAGCAUCAGGUAACAUCAAAUCGUACCCCAAACCGACACAGGUGGUCAGGUAGAGAAUACCAAGGCGCUUGAGAGAACUCGGGUGAAGGAACUAGGCAAAAUGGUGCCGUAACUUCGGGAGAAGGCACGCUGAUAUGUAGGUGAAGUCCCUCGCGGAUGGAGCUGAAAUCAGUCGAAGAUACCAGCUGGCUGCAACUGUUUAUUAAAAACACAGCACUGUGCAAACACGAAAGUGGACGUAUACGGUGUGACGCCUGCCCGGUGCCGGAAGGUUAAUUGAUGGGGUCAGCGCAAGCGAAGCUCUUGAUCGAAGCCCCGGUAAACGGCGGCCGUAACUAUAACGGUCCUAAGGUAGCGAAAUUCCUUGUCGGGUAAGUUCCGACCUGCACGAAUGGCGUAAUGAUGGCCAGGCUGUCUCCACCCGAGACUCAGUGAAAUUGAACUCGCUGUGAAGAUGCAGUGUACCCGCGGCAAGACGGAAAGACCCCGUGAACCUUUACUAUAGCUUGACACUGAACAUUGAGCCUUGAUGUGUAGGAUAGGUGGGAGGCUUUGAAGUGUGGACGCCAGUCUGCAUGGAGCCGACCUUGAAAUACCACCCUUUAAUGUUUGAUGUUCUAACGUUGACCCGUAAUCCGGGUUGCGGACAGUGUCUGGUGGGUAGUUUGACUGGGGCGGUCUCCUCCUAAAGAGUAACGGAGGAGCACGAAGGUUGGCUAAUCCUGGUCGGACAUCAGGAGGUUAGUGCAAUGGCAUAAGCCAGCUUGACUGCGAGCGUGACGGCGCGAGCAGGUGCGAAAGCAGGUCAUAGUGAUCCGGUGGUUCUGAAUGGAAGGGCCAUCGCUCAACGGAUAAAAGGUACUCCGGGGAUAACAGGCUGAUACCGCCCAAGAGUUCAUAUCGACGGCGGUGUUUGGCACCUCGAUGUCGGCUCAUCAC
Molecule: ribosomal RNA, 2118 nt
Filed under: Shigella dysenteriae
Lineage: Bacteria; Pseudomonadati; Pseudomonadota; Gammaproteobacteria; Enterobacterales; Enterobacteriaceae
Description: partial 23S ribosomal RNA
Rfam family: Bacterial large subunit ribosomal RNA
Source: RNAcentral